CCCUUAGAUGUUCGGGGCCGCACGCGCGCUACACUGAAGGAAUCAGCACGUCUUUCUCCUUGUCCGAAAGGACUGGGUAACCCGCUGAACCUCCUUCGUGCUAGGGAUUGGGGCUUGUAAUUCUUCCCCAUGAACGAGGAAUUCCCAGUAAGCGCGAGUCAUAAGCUCGCGUUGAUUCCGUCCCUGCCCUUUGUACACACCGCCCGUCGCUACUACCGAUUGGAUGGUUUAGUGAGAUCCUCGGAUUGGUCCCGGAGCGGCCUCUGGUCGUGCCGGAGUGCCGAAAAGAAUGUCGAACUUGAUCAUCUAGAGGAAGUAAAAGUCGUAACA
RNAcentral lists this ribosomal RNA (330 nucleotides) under uncultured eukaryote. RNAcentral's name for it is "partial 18S ribosomal RNA". It matches the Rfam family "Eukaryotic small subunit ribosomal RNA", at positions 1470 to 1796 of the family's 1831-position model. The record is from RNAcentral.